RNAcentral lists this long non-coding RNA (2738 nucleotides) under Nicotiana tabacum (common tobacco). Its description in RNAcentral is "long non-coding RNA (NTAB_LNC007853)". The record is from RNAcentral. Lineage: Eukaryota; Viridiplantae; Streptophyta; Magnoliopsida; Solanales; Solanaceae.
UUUAUAUGUAGAGAACUACAGCAAAAUAUCUUCAAUUGUUUUAAUAAAUGCAAUAUAAAAUAUGUAGAGAAUUUUAGUUUAUUUUAAGAAAUGCAAUACAUUAGCAAGAAAACAUAACUAAAGGUUCAACAAUAUCAUUCAAAAUAAAUUAAAAUAUUAAAAGGUUGCUCUAGUCAAACAUAUCAAUAUACUUUUACAAGAGAAAAAAAUAGUCACUCAUGUCCCAAUCGAUCUGGAUGCUUUCUGUGCUCCUCCAUAAGCUGCAAUAGCAAUUAUAAAAAAAAAGUUAAGAAAAUGGUCGAAUUAUGUCCACAUGAAACAGCUAAAGUUUACUUGUCAUAUGAAAUUUUCUUAAAGAAAUCACAUAUUUUCUAGAAUUGAUUUUAUACAACAACAACAACAACAAUAACAAAAACCCAGUGUAAUCCCACAAGUGGAGUCUGGGGAAGAUAGUGUGUAUGUAUACCUUACUCCUACGCUAGGGGUAGAAAGUUAGUUAGAGUUGGAUGAACAGCAGAUAUCCUUCUAAAUUUAUUCUCAUCAUAUAUCCAACUUUGCUAGCUUACAAUCCAUUUCUUUCUUGAUUCUUCAACUUAAGAACCUAAAAAACUAUAUGAAAAGUCAACAUAAUCAUCUGAUAAUUUGAAUGUACUAUAUAUUAAAAAUUAUACUGUCAGCAUGAAUUUUGGGACAACACUGAAACUUUAGAACUUGUAGACAUCCCUCACACAUAACUUUACAUUUACACUUCUUAUUGUAAAUCUUUCAGCUAUUUGUCAAUGCAAGAUAUGAUUCAUUUAGCAUUUCUAAGGACUUAAUGAACCAGGAGAGUGGAUCGUACAGUAUAGUUGAUAUCUGCUUUAAAGUGUGACAAUAAGAGCCAAGACUUUGAACCAAACCAAAUUUUUCAAAAACACACUGCUUAGGGCUCUUGUGUGUCUAAAUAUCAGAAGAUCCUUGAUUGAUCCGACGCUUCCUAAAGUAGGACCAAAGAUUACUUCUUAUUCGUUUGUAGCAAGGGACAAGAAUACUUUGUUUUCUCCUGAUAUUUAGGGUGAGACUGUAAUCAAUUUAAAGAAUAAUAUAGCAAUCAGUAAGCUAAUUAGCCUUCAAGAGAGGAUGCUCUAUUGGUCGUAGCUCUGGAUAAUAGGUACUUGCUCUUCUUACUAGCUAGUUCCUGCAACUUUGAUUUAAACAACGGAAAUAGCAACAUUAUUAACUAACAUUGGCAUAUACCACUUAGUGAUAAAGUUUAACAAUACUUACUCGAUAUCGUACGUAGCAGCAAGACCUUUGUAUUUGUCAUCAUAAUUUGGCAAUAAUAAUGAGCCACUUCAAUUCAGCACGGAUAGAAGUAACUUUGUCCAACUGUAAAGAACUUAAUUUUGUUAGAUAGAUUCUAGAGGUUAAAAUUCAGAAGUGAAACGAUACAGCACAUUAAAUCUAGACCUAAUUGUGUUUCCAGAUUAGUGUACAGUUUAAGUCAACCCAGCUAUCCUGAACAAUACUAUUCACAAGAAGAAAAUAUGAAUACACUUAAUUGAAAAAAGAAGAGAAUGAGAAUAGUAAAUGCAACAGGGACAACAAUCUUAUAAGAUGGAGCGACAAUAAUCUUAGAGGACAAAGAGCAACUGAUAAGAAUGGUAUUAAAGAAAAGCAUAUCUUUGUGUAUUUGUAAACUACUACCAAAAAAUUUAUGAAAGUCCAAGUUAACUUCUUACUUUUAAAUUCUUAUUAGAGGCUGAUUUAAUCUUUUCUUAAGAGCAUUAUUCAACCUUUCAAAAUUUGAUUGAAUAAUCCUUAUUAGUCAUAGUUGAAAAAUAAUCUAUACAAGAUCAACCUCCUACAUGACGUACUUAUUAUACUCUUUUUGGAUCAUAAAGAGCAAUACAUGAGCUGUGACUGUCAAUUUCUUAUUAGCCAACAUUGAUUCCAUCAAACAUACUCCAAAAAUUCAUUAUGCUUAUUCUAGUUUCCUUGUUCUAAUUUCAUUUGAUUCAUUGGCUUCUCAAGAAAAUUUUGGGAACUAGUUUUCACAAUAUUUCUUGAUCCAGAGUUUCCUUUAUUUUGCAUAUAAUCCACCAGCAAUAAAAUUAAAGCAAAAGUGACCAAAACUCCAACAUCGUCUAAUUAUUAUACUAACAAAUCAGAAAAAUAAAUCAGUGUAAGAAAUGAGACAAAAUUGCAGAAUACCCAUUACACAAAGAGCACAAAAAUAAAAGAGAAAACGGAAACUAAAGUGAAUAGAAAUUCCAGGAAUUACCAACUAUUAUAUCAUCAAAACAAUGUCUAAAUCGAGAUAGAAAUGCUAAAUUGUAGAGUAUUUGAAGUAAUCUACAACUUUUUACAGAAAAAUAAAAAAUAAUGGAAAUCCACAAUAACUCCUAGACCAAUUCACUAUCAAAUAAUCCACCAUGUAUGUGAGAAUCAAAAUGCAUAAUACCUACCCAGAAGAUGAAAAUUUUGAAGAGUUCCUUACCUUUGAGCAGUUAGGUUUUGGGCGACGAGGAACUUAGAUCGCAGCGGUAUAGAUUUCAUACACCUUGUUGGUAUGAACUGUAUAUUGGGUACUUAAAUUGGCGAAGAUGGCAUUUGAUGACGCGGCGGAAGCAGCUAAAGAGACAGUGCCUUAAUCGAUUUUUGGCUCUCUUCUGAUAUGUGGUGGAAGGGUUUUCUUUCUCCUCUAAUCUCUCUAAAUUAAGGCUUUGAUUUUUGCCAAAAAAUUUAGAGGGGGAAAG